GAACGCUAGCGACAGGCUUAACACAUGCAAGUCGAGGGGCAGCACAGGUAGCAAUACCGGGUGGCGACCGGCGCACGGGUGAGUAACGCGUAUGCAACUUACCUAUCAGAGGGGGAUAACCCGGCGAAAGUCGGACUAAUACCGCAUGAAGCAGGGGCCCCGCAUGGGGAUAUUUGCUAAAGAUUCAUCGCUGAUAGAUAGGCAUGCGUUCCAUUAGGCAGUUGGCGGGGUAACGGCCCACCAAACCGACGAUGGAUAGGGGUUCUGAGAGGAAGGUCCCCCACAUUGGUACUGAGACACGGACCAAACUCCUACGGGAGGCAGCAGUGAGGAAUAUUGGUCAAUGGCCGAGAGGCUGAACCAGCCAAGUCGCGUGAGGGAUGAAGGUUCUAUGGAUCGUAAACCUCUUUUAUAAGGGAAUAAAGUGCGGGACGUGUCCCGUUUUGUAUGUACCUUAUGAAUAAGGAUCGGCUAACUCCGUGCCAGCAGCCGCGGUAAUACGGAGGAUCCGAGCGUUAUCCGGAUUUAUUGGGUUUAAAGGGUGCGUAGGCGGCCUUUUAAGUCAGCGGUGAAAGUCUGUGGCUCAACCAUAGAAUUGCCGUUGAAACUGGGGGGCUUGAGUAUGUUUGAGGCAGGCGGAAUGCGUGGUGUAGCGGUGAAAUGCAUAGAUAUCACGCAGAACCCCGAUUGCGAAGGCAGCCUGCCAAGCCAUGACUGACGCUGAUGCACGAAAGCGUGGGGAUCAAACAGGAUUAGAUACCCUGGUAGUCCACGCAGUAAACGAUGAUCACUAGCUGUUUGCGAUACACUGUAAGCGGCACAGCGAAAGCGUUAAGUGAUCCACCUGGGGAGUACGCCGGCAACGGUGAAACUCAAAGGAAUUGACGGGGGCCCGCACAAGCGGAGGAACAUGUGGUUUAAUUCGAUGAUACGCGAGGAACCUUACCCGGGUUUGAACGCAUUCGGACCGAGGUGGAAACACCUUUUCUAGCAAUAGCCGUUUGCGAGGUGCUGCAUGGUUGUCGUCAGCUCGUGCCGUGAGGUGUCGGCUUAAGUGCCAUAACGAGCGCAACCCUUGCCACUAGUUACUAACAGGUAAAGCUGAGGACUCUGGUGGGACUGCCAGCGUAAGCUGCGAGGAAGGCGGGGAUGACGUCAAAUCAGCACGGCCCUUACAUCCGGGGCGACACACGUGUUACAAUGGCGUGGACAAAGGGAAGCCACCUGGCGACAGGGAGCGAAUCCCCAAACCACGUCUCAGUUCGGAUCGGAGUCUGCAACCCGACUCCGUGAAGCUGGAUUCGCUAGUAAUCGCGCAUCAGCCAUGGCGCGGUGAAUACGUUCCCGGGCCUUGUACACACCGCCCGUCAAGCCAUGGGAGCCGGGGGUACCUGAAGUCCGUAACCGCGAGGAUCGGCCUAGGGUAAAACUGGUGACUGG
Molecule: ribosomal RNA, 1440 nt
Filed under: uncultured organism
Description: SSU rRNA
Rfam family: Bacterial small subunit ribosomal RNA
Source: RNAcentral